Molecule: ribosomal RNA, 468 nt
Filed under: uncultured bacterium
Lineage: Bacteria
Description: partial 16S ribosomal RNA
Rfam family: Bacterial small subunit ribosomal RNA
Source: RNAcentral
GACGAACGCUGGCGGCGUGCUUAACACAUGCAAGUCGAACGGAAAGGCCCUGCUUUUGUGGGGUGCUCGAGUGGCGAACGGGUGAGUAACACGUGAGUAACCUGCCCCUGACUUUGGGAUAACUUCAGGAAACUGGGGCUAAUACCGGAUAGGAGCUCCUUCUGCAUGGUGGGGGUUGGAAAGUUUCGGCGGUUGGGGAUGGACUCGCGGCUUAUCAGCUUGUUGGUGGGGUAGUGGCUUACCAAGGCUUUGACGGGUAGCCGGCCUGAGAGGGUGACCGGCCACAUUGGGACUGAGAUACGGCCCAGACUCCUACGGGAGGCAGCAGUGGGGAAUAUUGCACAAUGGGCGGAAGCCUGAUGCAGCAACGCCGCGUGCGGGAUGACGGCCUUCGGGUUGUAAACCGCUUUCGCCUGUGACGAAGCGUGAGUGACGGUAAUGGGUAAAGAAGCACCGGCUAACUACGUG